This 587-nucleotide small RNA is filed under the name Thermosyntropha lipolytica DSM 11003. The record is from RNAcentral. Lineage: Bacteria; Bacillati; Bacillota; Clostridia; Eubacteriales; Syntrophomonadaceae.
AACCGUAGCUGGCAAAAGGUUGCAGUAUUCUAGUCAACCCUUUUGGUGUCGAAGACGGGCCUAAAAAUCCGUUAAGGGCACAUCGAUGAAGCUUCUGGUACUGGCUUUUGACGCCCAGUCAGGGGUCAGUGCUGGGAGUUAAGAAUAUAGGGGCAAUCCGCAAUGGCAUGCGGACAUGACCCCUAUGUUCGCGGAGGCUCAUCACCGCAAGGUGGUGAGAAAACCUGCAUUCGGUUAAAGCUGGGUGCAGUGUAGCCUGCCUUGAGUGGUGGCGGCGGAUAAACCUGGUAGGUGGCAGUAUCUUGGCCAGGAUACUGCUGCCUGUUUUGAAACCGUCUGCUGCAAAAGAGGCUAGACACCAAGUAGGGUUGUUGAGGAAAACUCCUAGACUGUGCGCAUUUUUGCGCGGUUUAUCGAGGAUUAAAGUGCGUACUUAGUGGUAAUCCAGUCUCACUUGCGGUGACGCGGUGAAGCGGGCAUAAAGGGAAACCGCCCAUUUGGCAACAAAUGGGAGACCCGCUGGGAAAACCUACUGGACCUAUGUCGCAGCGUUUACUCGAUAAACAACCUUUUGCCAGAACCGUUUU